CUGUACAAUUUCCACUUUUUAUUUCUUACUCCUGAUAAUAAUGGAAAUCAGACAAAAAAUCUCCGUUCAAGUCCCUUUCUUCGAGCCAUGACCACUUGAACGUGUUCCUCACACUCGUGUCUAUCACGCGUAAGUCUGCUUGUCUGUCUACCUGCUUGAACAU
Hippocampus zosterae (dwarf seahorse) is the source of this 163-nucleotide long non-coding RNA. RefSeq lists it as uncharacterized. The transcript has 2 exons. NCBI's taxonomy places the organism in Eukaryota, Metazoa, Chordata, Actinopteri, Syngnathiformes, Syngnathidae. The record is from RefSeq and is a predicted model, not a curated record.